GACGAACGCUGGCGGCGUGCUUAACACAUGCAAGUCGAACGGAAAGGCCCUGCUUUUGUGGGGUGCUCGAGUGGCGAACGGGUGAGUAACACGUGAGUAACCUGCCCCUGACUUUGGGAUAACUUCAGGAAACUGGGGCUAAUACCGGAUAGGAGCUCCUGCUGCAUGGUGGGGGUUGGAAAGUUUCGGCGGUUGGGGAUGGACUCGCGGCUUAUCAGCUUGUUGGUGGGGUAGUGGCUUACCAAGGCUUUGACGGGUAGCCGGCCUGAGAGGGUGACCGGCCACAUUGGGACUGAGAUACGGCCCAGACUCCUACGGGAGGCAGCAGUGGGGAAUAUUGCACAAUGGGCGGAAGCCUGAUGCAGCAACGCCGCGUGCGGGAUGACGGCCUUCGGGUUAUAAACCGCUUUCGCCUGUGACGAAGCGUGAGUGACGGUAAUGGGUAAAGAAGCACCGGCUAACUACGUG
Molecule: ribosomal RNA, 468 nt
Filed under: uncultured bacterium
Lineage: Bacteria
Description: partial 16S ribosomal RNA
Rfam family: Bacterial small subunit ribosomal RNA
Source: RNAcentral